UACGAAGGGGGCUAGCGUUGUUCGGAAUUACUGGGCGUAAAGCGCACGUAGGCGGGUGGUUAAGUUAGGGGUGAAAUCCCGGAGCUCAACUCCGGAACUGCCUUUGAUACUGGCCAUCUAGAGAUCGGAAGAGGUGAGUGGAAUUCCCAGUGUAGAGGUGAAAUUCGUAGAUAUUGGGAAGAACACCGGCGGCGAAGGCGGCUCACUGGUCCGAUACUGACGCUGAGGUGCGAAAGCGUGGGGAGCAAACAGGAUUAGAUACCCUAGUAGU
Molecule: ribosomal RNA, 271 nt
Filed under: uncultured bacterium
Lineage: Bacteria
Description: partial 16S ribosomal RNA
Rfam family: Bacterial small subunit ribosomal RNA
Source: RNAcentral